RNAcentral lists this ribosomal RNA (534 nucleotides) under Globigerinella siphonifera. RNAcentral describes it as "bacterial SSU rRNA". It matches the Rfam family "Eukaryotic small subunit ribosomal RNA", at positions 1185 to 1460 of the family's 1831-position model. RNAcentral also lists the same sequence under 1 other name. Lineage: Eukaryota; Foraminifera; Rotaliida; Globigerinidae. The record is from RNAcentral.
GUGGCUUAAUUUGACUCAACGCGGGGAAUCUUACCGGGUCCGGACACACUGAGGAUCGACAGACAGUUGUCUUUCCCUCCCUUCGGGGUGGGAUUACAAAAGAUAACAGAUCUUUCAUGAUCAUGUGAUGGGUGGUGCAUGGCCGUUCUUAGUUCGUGGAGUGAUCUGUCUGCUUAAUUGCGUUUCAAAUUUUAUAUUUGUUAACAUGCGAGUCUUCAAUGACGGCCGCUCCACCUUAUAGACAUUAUAUGAUAUGCACAUUUGUGUAUUUGAUUAUAACUUGUCUGGAGUCUGGCUCGAUUUUUUUGACUCAAUUGAACGCAACGGACGUGAUUGCAAGUCCUUGUUGAACAAAUUAUAUAUAUACUACUUCAUCAUUAGUAUAUAUAGUUCGCUUCUCAUGUCGUAGCAGUCAAACGGGCGGGCGUCUUAAUUGGCGCGGUCACGAGGCUUAAUAUGCUGCGGCAGGGAAAACUUGGGCGACCGCUGUAAUACUUCUCUCUUAAACCAGAGGAAGAUUGCGGCAAUAACAGG